Molecule: long non-coding RNA, 1760 nt
Organism: Ahaetulla prasina
Lineage: Eukaryota; Metazoa; Chordata; Lepidosauria; Squamata; Colubridae
Exons: 3
Source: RefSeq, a predicted model, not a curated record
GUAUGCGCGCUGUAUGUGUGCAUGCGCAAUGCACACUACGCACUAAAUGCAAGGUGCAGGCACGCAGUGAGUGCCAAAAGGAAGCAUGGGGUCUCUUAGCAAAUGAGGAAUGAUUCCAGCAACUAUGUUUGCAAGUUGGAAAUUGGGAGCGAAUUUGUGUAGUUUGUGUAUCAUGCUUUUGCUUCGCAGUAACAUAGCUUGUGCACCAUUUUCAUCAUCCGCCAAAGUCUACAGUGAUCCUCCUAAUCUAUAUCUGUAGCCAUAGAUCAUGUGCACUGACCUAUGAAAGAAUUCUUCAAGCAGUGUCCUACAGCGAUGUAGAAUGUAUAAAUGAGGCUUUCCUAAAAUUGCAGAAAUAGUAGACAACUGAAGAUUCCAAAAUUAGAACAAAGCACAAUUUCUUAUGGGACUUCUGGUGCGAGGAGGCAUUGAACUUUUGCAUUCUCUUAGCCUGAAGGUGGUUGGGCCAGUGGAUAACCUGCUUUUCUUUGCUAAUUAUGCCUACAUUUGACAAUAUUGUACUUUUGAUUCUGUGCUGUGUAAACUCUAUUUGUAUAUUUUGAAGUUUGUUCAGUUCAUAAAAUUUGCCUCAAAAGCUUCUGGAGUCAACUCUGCCUUGCUUUUUACUUAUUCAGAAUGUCAACACAUUAAAAUCAAAAUUGCUAAUGAUUUUGUCAAAUUUGAGUCUCCUUUCUCCUUGUUUUUCUUUUUUUAAAAUCUGUGUCUGAUUUUAAAUUGGUGGUAAUAUUAAAGUGAUACUUUGCAUAGCUUUGCAAGCUCUUGUUUUAGUGAAUCUAAACGCAGAACUGACAGUUAACAUGAACUAGUUUUGACUUAGUCUUAAAUUUUUUGAUCUAUAAACAAGCAGCAUUUCAGGAAUAAGAAACCUUUGGAAUCUCCAAAUAUUGUUAAUGCUGUGCUGACUGAUAGUUCUGGAAACAGUAGUUUAAUUACAUCUGGCAAUACAAUGUCAUCUGAAAGAGAGGGAAUUUGGGCUUGAUCCAUUUCCCCAUUUGGUUUUCUUAUGCCACUUUUUUUCAUCCUUUCAGCUAGAUUUUGGUAAUCUGCUUGGAGGUGAGGGCUCCCAGGGCUGCAGAAAGAAGCUAUCCAGGGAAUUCAUGCAUCUACUUUAGGAAUUCCCAUUAGUGUUGCCAAUUCUUCUGUCUAGUCAUUAAGACAAAGUGCAGCGUACAAGUAGAUCUGUACUAAAUAUCUAUAUCCUUAACAUGCAUGCUGAGUAGCCUUUCUCCAUAGACUUCAUGCUUACAAAUGAGCAUUCCCCUCCCACCACAAAAAGUAUAUAAAGGAGUUUCCAGGUAGUAAUAAAUGUAGAUUUUGCCUUUUCUCUGAUCAAAGAAGUUAAUUUAGCCAUUUCAACGAAUUCCAUCAUUCUCACCAGUUUUUCCUCCAUUGUGGAUAGUGUCAGAUCUUUCUAUCUUUGUGCAUACAAUUAUCCUGUUGCAGUUACCAUGUAUAAAAACGAAGUUCCGUGACUUUUUUUUCCAACUGUUUUUCUAUCAGUGCCCAAAAGAAAUAUCUCUGAUUUCAGUUGUGCAUCAGUUGUGCAUUUAAAAUCUUCUGGCUCAGUAUAUGUAUUUCAAUUCAGACUAUGCUAGCUUUUUUACACGUUCACCAAACAUGAUAAAAUGUCCCUUGUUGUUCACAUUUCCAACAUAAAUUUGAAGUGCCAUGAUAAAAGGUUCCUUGUUGUUCACAGUUCCAACAUAAAUUUGAAGUGCCUUUUUACAUUCUAGACAAUU